Glossina fuscipes is the source of this 9172-nucleotide RNA transcript. RefSeq lists it as uncharacterized. The record is from RefSeq and is a predicted model, not a curated record. The transcript is spliced from 11 exons. Lineage: Eukaryota; Metazoa; Arthropoda; Insecta; Diptera; Glossinidae.
GCUUAUUGAAAACUUUUUAAUUACUUGUAAUUUUCAAUCAUCUCUUCUUCUCUUUUAUGAUUCAAUUUAAAAUGAUACGCACAUGUAUGUGACGUAAUCAACCAAAAAAAAAAAAAAAAAAAUACUUGUCAACAUAGUUUAUUAAUUAGUAAACAGAUUGCGUUUGAAAUUGUAAUUGAUUAUCAAAGGGAAAGGAUUUAUUUACUAUACAUGGAUGAGUGAUUUUAAUAAAAUUAAUUAACGUCAACUCAAAGCUACUCUCACUGUUAUUCUCUCUCUCUCUCUCUCUCUCUCUCGUUCUCUCUCUCUCUCUCUCUCUCUCUCUCUCUCUCUUUCUCUCUGCACUACUCUGAGGCAUAAUCAAUAAAAGUCUUAUUUACUCUCAAGGUCAUAUCAAUCAUUUCAUUUUAAUUAAGAUUUUUUUUCAAUUUCCGAUUCGAUAAAUUCGCUGAUUUAAUUUUAAUUUCAAUUUAAAAUUUUUUUUAAUGUUUUCUUACUAUUGUCAAGUGAAGUUAGCCUAACGUAUCUACAGGAUGUUUUUAUGUUUGCUAAAACUUGGGCUGGUUUCAUGGUUGGUUCGGGUUUUUGCUAAGGUGAGUGCUCGCUCAGUCGGUGCAGGCAAAAUACUUAUCGAUUGAGCAAUGCACCUUCUAAGUUGCAGCCACCUCCCUACCUUUUUCCCUUUCUUCACGAAUAGGAGAAACAUACGCUGAAAACAAAAAUCGUAACCUCACAAAAUCCUAUUGGAUGUUCACUCUAGUGAGAUUUUUACAAUGGGAACUUGGUUUAGAGCUACACGGUAAUUCUAUUAGCUCCGUUGGGUUUCCUUCUUUUCUUUUUCAGUAAAUAAAUUGCUACCACUUGAUCAGAAUGUAAUUAAUUUCUUCAGAAUGGCGAGAAAUGAAGAUCACAUCUCUAGAACCAUAUCUCGGAUCUCCAAGUCCCCCCUUUCCUGGCAUUGUUACGAGUUAAACACAUUGGCUAUAUAGCACCAUAUAAUUAGCUGGGCAUUUUUAAAAACCUUUUGCAAGGCCCUAAACCGUCGCCAGCACAUGAUGUUAGGCCUAGCGCCUAGAUAACAAACGCAACAGCAUAGUCAACUUCGACUAACCCUACAGUAAACUAUACUUUGAUCUCGGUCGUCAUAUAGCCGCAGAUAGAGUGAAUUUUUUGCUUUUAAUAUGAUCAAUCAAUCAGAGGAUGUCCGCUGUUCACUGUGGGGAAAGAGAUACUCACUGCAGCUACAGACAGCACUUAUUAUAGCUUUGACCACGAACCUGUCGUAAUUAAAAGGUUAUCUCUAUCUACGAUCUGUAAAAUUGAAUCCGUACUAUUCGGCUUGACAGUCGCCCUUCAUUAAUCUGUGUAAAGUUAUAUUUAAACAUAAUUAGCGCAGACAUGAACCAUUUGUUAUAUGUUGAAAGAGUUCUGUUAAAAGAAGACUGGAAAGGUUUUAAAUCGAAAUGUAGUUAAAAUAGAACUUAACGAGAAUUUUUUUAAAAACUAUUAUAAUGAAAACGUGACCUUGUGCUCUUUUCAUACUCCCGUAAAGAAAUUCUCCGAGCAAAAUUGAAUAUAAGCUGCACAAAAUUAGAAAGGCUAUUAAUAGCAACUUCAAGCUGUGCUAGUUUCCUUUUUUUCGCAAACCAUGGCUUAGCCACAGUAGCUAAGCAAACUUUCUCUUUUUCAUCUCCAUUUUUGGCACAGUACAAAAGCUUUUUCAUAUCAAGUUUUAAUUGACAUUGAUAAUAUGAAGACAUAUUUUAUUUAUAAUAAUUUUUAAAAAAUUCUCGGAAGGCUGCAUUUUAACUAUAUUUUGAAUUCAGUCCUUCUGAGACUUGGUUUAGCAGAAUUUCGUAUAAAAGAAAAGGGUUUGUGUCGUUGCUAUUUACAUUUAAAUUUAGCUUCAUACCCUUAUUUUUUAAUUACUACGACUACGUGGUUGCCAUGCGUACGAAUAGCUACGACCAUAAAUGGUUAAACCGCACUUAGAUUUGCACUUACGAACACUGACUUGGUCGUCGCAACUCACCUAAGCAGUAGCUCAAUAUAUAGUGAUUGGCCGAUCAGCAAAGAUAUAACACUUAUCCUCCAAAGUUGGGACUUCAGUCUACUCUCCUUCUUUACUUCUGUCUCUCUUACCUUUACCAUGUGCAUGUAUAUGUACUUGUAUGAUGUAUAGGAGACAUUCCCUGAGAGAUUGGUGAUAAAAAAAAAUAAAAAUUAAUUGCUAGGACUUCAUAAGUGUUUUUCGUUCAAAAAAAAAAGUCGGAUAAUUUGCAAAAGUGAUUAAAGAUAGGGUUCUCCGAUGAAAUGAUGGAUUUUUAAAGAUUUGAAGAAUGAAUAGAAAGCUGCGCCAAAUUUCACAAACAGAUUGCAUUUAAGUCUAUCUAGGGUAAUGCUUCUUUAUUUGUGUGAUAAGUAUAAGCACAAAUCUCUGCCACUGGGUAAAGAAUUGAAUUUUCCAGUUGAAAAUAUGUAUAAAGGAAAAAAUAACUUGAAAUUUGUUUUUCGCUGAUUUAACGAUAAACUCUUAACUGCACUGUCAAUAGCGCAUAAAAAAAAAGCAAAAAUAAAAAACUUGCAUAACUCUCAUACGUAAAACUGAGAAAACAAACAUCCAUCAUUGAUAAGAAUCAAUCUAAACCUGAGACCGAAAAAAAAGCGUAAAGAAUCAUAAAAACGAGGAGAGAACAAAAACAGAAACAAAAAAAAAGAAGAAGAAGGAGAAGAAAUAAAAGACAGCAUAAAAAUGUGCAGAAAACAUUCUCUAGCAAUUUGGUUAUUUUGUUUGACAUUUUUUGGUCUACAACAUCAAGACAAUCAAGUCAAACAUACUGAAGCCAGCAAACAAUACAUAACAGCAAACAAAGCAUUUUCAACUAAAAUUCCAAAAAUAACAACAACAACAACACCAACAGCAGCAACAAUAAGAAGAACUAGUAGUAGUAUCGCUAGCACAGCAGCAUCAAUUGGGACAACUAAACAAGUUAUUGGAGAUGUUUUGCAAAUAGAAAAUGAAGAAUAUGUUGAGUUAGCAGAAGACACAAUAAUACAAUCGGAGAGUAUUCCUGAUUUAAACGACAAUGAAUAUGAUAACGAUAAUAAUGAUCAUCAUGAUACUAACGCUUUAACCAUAUACCAUUUACGAAAUCAAAUGAAUGAUGUACAAAAGAGAAACGCUAUAAAAAGAAAAUAUUUACUACAAGAGCUAUUGAGGCAACAUGAGCAGACAUUUAAAGAGACACAGCAAAUUUAUAACGAUACCGGUGGUGGUAGCGAUACUGAUGAUGAUGAUGAUGAUGAUGAUGAUGAUGAUGAUGAUAACGAUGAUAGUGAUGAUGAUGGUGCGAGUGCUGGUAAUGAAGGGAAAUCUAUAUUAUUACCCAUCAAUAGCAAGUCAUUGUUAAAAUACAGUAAACAUAAGAAAAAUGUUGGCGACACAUUGGCUUUUGAUUUUAAACAAAACGUGCACCGUCUAUUCAACAAUACUAAAAGUAAUGACAAUCGUAGUCAUAAAGAACUGCACGUCAACAACACUUUAGCAUCAUUGUUACCAGUUACGAUUAUAGGAGGUAAAGAACGGGCGUUUACGGCGCCCAUUGCUACUACUACUACUGCUACAACUACGGCAGCAAGAAGUGCUAGCACUUAUAGUCAUAGUGCCUCUAAACCAACGACGACGUCAUCAUCAUCUACUACAUCUUCAUUUAAUUCAACUGAUUGGCUGCAUAUUUUUAAGCAUUCCACUCCUUUGGGUCGACGUCAUAUCGUGCCAGAAAAAUUGCAAUAUACUAAAGAGAUUACGAUUAAACAAGGACGACUUAUAGGUAUCAGACGUACAUUUCACGGCAGCACCGGUCUACGUGAUGUGGAUCAAUAUCUAGGUUUACCGUACGCUGAGUCACCAAUAGGCAGUCGCCGUUUCAUGCCGCCAGGCGCUCCUUUGCCCUGGCAAGGCUUGAAAAUGGCUCACCACUUACCAUCUGCGUGUCCGCAGAAAUUGCCUGAUAUCACUGCAGCGAUGUCAAGUGGUAGUGCAGCAGCUGCUAAACUAUCCAAAGGCCGUUACAAAUACUGGACACGUUUGUUGCCUUAUCUAAAAACAGAAAAUGAGGAUUGUUUGUAUUUGAAUGUUUAUGUGCCGAGUGAGAAUGACGUUACAGCGGCAUUGUUUCAACGUAAAUUUCUCUAUCCGGUUAUUGUAUACAUUCACGGCGAGUCAUUCGACUGGAAUAGUGGUAAUGCCUACGAUGGUUCGGUAUUGGCAAGCUAUGGUGAAAUUAUUGUUGUUACAGUAAAUUAUCGUUUGGGUAUAUUAGGUUUUAUGAGGCCUAGCAUUAAUGAGAAUACCGUAGCCAACUUUGGUUUAUUAGAUCAAAUUGCUGCAUUACAUUGGAUCAAAGAGAAUAUCGGUUAUUUUGGUGGCGACAAGGAUAGCGUCACUUUAAUGGGUCACACAACGGGGGCAGCAUGUGUUAAUUACCUGAUGAUAUCACCAGUUGCCUCGGGCCUUUUUCAUCGUGCCAUAUUAAUGUCGGGUUCCGCUAUGUCUGAUUGGGCAGCCAGCAAUUAUUCGCUACAGCUAACAAUGCAAAUUGCUCAUGGCCUUAAUUGUCCUUUAAAUGAUGACAAUGAAGAGAUGCUGACUUGUUUACGUCAGAAACGGUAUCAGGAUAUCUUAAAGAUACCGACAUCACUAUCACAAUUUUCAACAUCGUUGGGUCCCAUUGUUGAUGGCCAUGUUAUACCCGAUCAACCGUAUAAAGUAAUGGGACAAUAUACAGAACAUUUUAGUCGGUAUGAUUUAUUAUUUGGUAUCACCGAAUCGGAAUCAUAUCAUUCGUUAGGUGUUGCAAUUUUAGAGGAGGGAUUACGUGAAAAUGAACGCGAUAAUUUAUUGCGUUUCUAUAUGCAAAGUCGCUUUGAUAUACGUCCCGAUUUGGCGUUGGCGGCCACAUUAAAAAAGUACAGUGAUAUGUAUACAAAUCCUAUUAAGGCCAGCAAAUUGGAACAUCGUGAUGUUGUACUUGAUAUAUUAUCUGAUGCUCGUGUGGUGGGACCAUUAAUGCAAACCGGUUUAUUUCACGCUGAAGUGAAUCGACGCAAUUAUAUGUAUGUAUUCGGCCAUAAUAGCUUCGGUGGACCGCAUGCCAGUUUACCUCACAGCAUAGCGGGUGAAGAACUACCUUUCGUGUUCGGAGCACCGCUAGCCGCUGUAGGGCCAUUUCAUGGCAUACACUAUACAUCACAAGAGAAACUAUUGGCUGAAGCGGUUAUGUCAUAUUGGUGUAAUUUUGUUAAGACUGGAAAUCCUAAAGCACCUUGGAAGGGCACAUUUAUUAAUUUGCAUGCUUUAGAAUGGGAUCGUUACGAUUUAGAUUGGCCCGAAUUUAAUAAACGCGCGCAAGCAUACAUGAACAUUGGAAUACCGCCAUCGGUAGGCUAUAAAUAUCGACAAAUUUAUAUGAACUUCUGGAAUAAAGAAUUACCCGACGAACUUAAUCAAAUCGCAGUUAUUCAGCAGCAACCGUACUUCCUUGACACUCGAUUCCAAAAUACACAAAUACCACAAGUAGACAGCAGUAACAACAACAACAACGUCAACAAUAACAGAAACAAUAAUAAUAAUGAUGAUGCUGCCGAUAAGGAUGACGAUGGAAAAAUAUAUCCGAAACGUUAUAGCAGUGAAGUAAUUAUGGGCCAUAUGAAUAAAUUCGGUACACGUGCUGAUGGUGCUGAUGAUCCAGUGCGUACAUUAAAAUUGCUAUUACAAGAACCAUAUGUAAAUGGCAAAACCGAAGGUAUUGUUGUUGGUGGUAAUGCUAAUGAUGUUGGUAGAGGUAGUGAAACAGCCGAGAAUAUGUACAAUGCAUCGCCAAUGCAGCAGGGCGUUCAUCAUCAAGCACAGAGCAAAGAAGAUAAACAAUUGUAUUAUGGUAAUACGGUACACACCAUAAUCACCAACACAAACUUGGCUGACAAACCGGAUGAUGGUAAAAUAAUUUAUGGUAUUCAACAUUCUAGUGGCACAACAGUGGCAACAACAUUAACUGCAACCACUAACAAUAUCCAGCAAAAUAUUAAUAAACUUAAAAACUAUAAUAACGUUAAGGUAAAUGAGAAUGAAAGAGAGAGCAAAUAUAAAUCAAGCGAAGAGCAGGAUGAUGAAAAAGAGCAACAAGAACAAGUAUUGAAAUCAGAAACUACUCUGCAUUUAUUGAUUGGCUUAAUUGUUAUAUUCAUCGUAUUAAAUGUCAUCAUCUAUUCUACGUAUUUAUUGCAGAAGAAAAAGAAAACGAAAACCAUGCAACGUAAGCUAGGUACUAUACUUACUUAUGAUGGAACUACUGAUGACGAAUUGAAACGUUCUAAGCAAACCACCCAGCAUGACGGCGAUGAUAGUUACGUAAUGGAUAUGGUAAGAAAAUCGAAUGCUUAUGAAGCGGUAAAAACGGAACGUUCGCCUCUUAAUGGUUAUAAGAUAACGAGACAACUAAGUUGCUCCACGGUGGAUACGCACACUAAGGUAUGCGAAUGGAUGGAAAGUAAGCUACAAGCAGGUAGCAGUUUACCGAGAAGGCCAAGCAGUCCUAAAAGUUCGAAGAAAUCAUCGUCGUUUUCAUCACUAGCGGGUAGCGGCAGCAGUUUUGGCAAACAUCCGCACAAGGUAAGUGUGGCGGUUGACGCGACUUCUCAAGGACGUGGUAGCAGUGUUUUGCAGCAAGAGCCUAUAGAAAUAACUAAGUUCAAAGCUGACGGCCGAAAUAUUAUUAUAUGCCAAGAGGUAGAAGUAGAAGAUCAGGAAUUACUCACUCCUCAAGAAUCGUUGGAUAACAGCCGAUUUUCUUUAAUUAGACAACACUCAGCUAAUACCGAAUGUUGUAACGCAGAACUUUUACAACCUAUGCAUAAACAUUCUCAAUCGGAUCCAGUGGAGGUGUACUAUAGCUUGGGUGAAACGAUAGAUAAUGAACAAGAAGAUCAGGAGAAAAUCACUAGUUUCAUAACAUCAGAGGCCAUCUAUGACAACGAGGACACUGCGAUGAAAGAUAUAAAUGUAACAAGUCGCGAUUCGGAGAUAAUAGAGGACGAAACUCCUUUGACAGUGGAACAACAGUUAUCCGUAAUAAAAAGGCGUAAAUACCCUAAAGUUUUGCCUCCUUUACUAAUAGGAGAAAAUUAUCGUGAUUCACCGCCUAUGACCCAAGAUUUAAGUGUCACUUAUAAACGUAAUUCAUUGCCACCGAAUAAUUUCCUUUAUCAGCUUCAUCAUCUCAGCAAGCAGCCACCUUUACCGCCACCUCGUACAGUUGCCACGCUAGGACGUAAAACUUCCCUUAAACGGCGUAAUAGUAAUAUUGUUAGUAACUCACCGUUGAUGUUAGCUCAAGAUUGCACCGAAGAAGAGGAAGAACCAGAAAUUACUAAAAAUACAUUGAUUGUUGGUUCGUUGGUACCAAAGAGUAGCAAAAGCAGCGAAGGCUAUUAUACAACAUUAAGAAAAAAAACUCAGGAAACUGCACCUAAUGAAACUUUAAAUAAAACUUUAACGGCGCAUAAUGCUUUCCAACAACAACAACAGCAACACCAACAAAGUAUGCCAACAACGGCAUUUCAAUCUUUCGAAAGUUUUCCUGCUGAAACACCGGAAAGAGAUAUGCCAGCAUAUCUUACCGAACGCGUGUAUAGCAUAGAAGCAGUGUCAGCCAACAUUACCACAACGCCAUUAUAUCAGCAUCAACAACAUCGUCCUUCAUGUUAUGCUUCGGCACCAACAACACCUAAUGCUUUGCCAGUCAAUUCGCCACUAAUGUCAUAUCCAACUUUACCGAACGGAAGUUUACAUGCACUUUACUCUCAAUCUAAGAAAUCCCACAUACCACGUAUUGUAGCCGCCGGCAGUAGCAGCUGUCAUAACACUAACAUGAACACGAAAACCACAACUACUACAACUAAUGCAAUGCAUUCCAUUUUAACGCCUUCGCAAACGACUUCUGCACAUCCGUCUAACUGCCCUGAGUCGAUAUCACAGCAAGUGUCUGCGACAUUAUUGACUUCUUUAGCUAAGCCAUCAUCACCGUUAGUCUCAUCAAAAGCUUCAACGUUAUCAUCAACCGAUGUAGAAAUGCCCGGGGAAGUCAUAUUAAGUUCAAAUUGCACGACGUUGACAGUGCCGUCAUCGCCUACACGUAUACCACAGUUGCAGAGAAAUGCAAACGUAACGGAUUGCAACAGUCAACAACAACAGCAGCAACAACAAGAACAGCAACAACAGAAACAACUACAACAGACUUUAUUACUACAGUAUGUCAAUAGAGAUAAGUCAAAUCCUGGUAACUUAACAAAGGCACUGACACCAAUCCCACAGUCCAAUGCAAUGUCAACUGUCUCAGGCGAACUUUGUAAUAACAGUCAUCUGGGCAACGAUACAACAACAACAACAACAACAGCAGCAGCAGCCAACAAAAAUUCACAUAAAAAUGCAUCUCUUGCAACAUCAUUAUGUUCAACAAUUUCAUCACAUUCUAACACAACAGCCGACCCAGCAUCAACAGUGUCAAUAUUACCAUCAACACUAACGUCAUCCUCAUCCUCAACAUCAUCAUUGUCAUCGUCAUCGACGUCCUCUACGUCGACGGGUACUGUACGUACAGAAUUGCAACAACAAAAGUAAUCAACAUAGUUUUCAGUUUUUUUUUAAUAAAUUCUUUUGUACAUAUAUACAUCAAUAGGAGAAGACAAAGUGAGAAAGAAAAUUACCAACUAAAGUACAGUGUUUCAGGAGAUCAAGAAUUUUCUUACAAAUGAUAUUUUUUUCCAUUAAUGAAUCUGAACCCGAAACACUAUACUUUACAUAGAUUUACAUAGAUGUAAAUAAUCAAUAUUUAUUGAUGGUUUUGUAAUGACAACUUCCUCCUUGUAAAGUGAUGCAUUACAAAGGAUUUAAAGUCAAACACACCCGAACACAAACACACACACGCCCUAUACAAAGAAACAAGCAUCAAUCUAAUGCUGAAAAAAAUGUAGUGUAAAAAAUUAAAUAAAAAAUUAAUUACAAGUUCAUUUAUCCAAAGAACAGCAUGUAGCACUUAGCCAUUAUAAAAGCUAUUUAAAAAUCUUAUAUACAAAUAUAUGUGAUAUGUGUCUAUCAGAUAUAUAUUAAUAAAGA